GAAGGUUAUUUAAAUCAAGUACUUUUUACCUGAAUACAUAGGGUUUAAAGAGCAAACCUAGGGAACUGAAACAUCUAAGUACCUAGAGGAAAGGAAAUCAACAGAUACUCCGUUAGUAGUGGCGAGCGAACGCGGACCAGCCAAGCCUUGAGUGUGAGCAGAAUCGGUUGGAAAACCGAGCAAUAUGGGUGACAGCCCCGUAUGCGAAGCAUGAUAGGAUGUAUUAAGUAGAACGGGACACGUGAAAUCUUGUUUGAAGAUCGGAGGACCACCUUCGAAGGCUAAGUACUACUUAUUGACCGAUAGCGAACCAGUACCGUGAGGGAAAGGUGAAAAGUACCCCGACAAGGGGAGUGAAACAGUUUCUGAAACCGGACGCCUACAAACAGUCGGAGCCUCCUUGAGAGGUGACGGCGUACCUUUUGUAUAAUGGGUCAACGACUUGGUCUGGCUAGCAAGCUUAAGCCGUUAGGUGUAGGCGUAGCGAAAGCGAGUCUUAAUAGGGCGAUUAAGUUAGUCGGAUCAGACCCGAAACCGAGUGAUCUAGGCAUGUCCAGGAUGAAGGUGAGGUAACACUCACUGGAGGUCCGAACCCACAUCUGUUGAAAAAGAUCGGGAUGAGGUGUGCCUAGGGGUGAAAGGCCAAUCAAACUCGGAGAUAGCUGGUUCUCCGCGAAAUCUAUUUAGGUAGAGCGUCAUCCGAAUACCCCGGGGGGUAGAGCACUGGAUGGGUAAUGGGGCCCCACAGGCUUACUGAUCCUAACCAAACUCCGAAUACCGGGGAGUAAUAUCUAGCAGACACACAGCGGAUGCUAACGUCCGUUGUGGAAAGGGAAACAACCCUAACCUCCAGCUAAGGCCCCUAAUUCAUGGCUAAGUGGGAAAGCAGGUGAUACGACCAAAACAACCAGGAUGUUGGCUUAGAAGCAGCCAUCAUUUAAAGAAAGCGUAACAGCUCACUGGUCUAGAUAAGUUGUGUUGCGGCGAAGAUGUAACGGGGCUCAAGCCAUGAGCCGAAGCUGAGGACACUGUAAAGUGUGGUAGCGGAGCGUUCCGUGAUAUAAAUUCAUACGACUUUCAGUGCACUUCCGAGUGCGUUGAUGUCGAAUGAGUUUUUCUGUGAAGCCGGGCUGUAAGGCAUCCGGUGGAGAGAUCGGAAGUGAGAAUGUUGACAUGAGUAGCGAUAAACAGGGUGAGAGACCCUGUCGCCGAAAGUCCAAGGGUUCCUGCUUAAAGCUAAUCUGAGCAGGGUAAGCCGACCCCUAAGGCGAGGCCGAAAGGCGUAGUCGAUGGGAACCAGGUUAAUAUUCCUGGGCCAGGAGAGUGUGACGGAUCACGAGUGUAGUAAGGUCUUAUUGGAUUGAUUUUGCUGCUUAGUGGUUCCUGGAAAUAGCCCUCCAUUAUGAUCGUACCCUAAACCGACACAGGUGGACAGGUAGAGUAUACCAAGGCGCUUGAGAGAACUGUAUUGAAGGAACUCGGCAAAAUACCUCCGUAAGUUCGCGAGAAGGAGGCCCUAUGUUUAGGCAACUAGAUGUAGGGGACACAACCCAGGGGGUGGCGACUGUUUACUAAAAACACAGGGCUCUGCGAAGCCGCAAGGCGAUGUAUAGGGUCUGACGCCUGCCCGGUGCCGGAAGGUUAAGAGGAGGUGUGCAAGCACCGAAUUGAAGCCCCGGUAAACGGCGGCCGUAACUAUAACGGUCCUAAGGUAGCGAAAUUCCUUGUCGGGUAAGUUCCGACCUGCACGAAUGGCGUAACGACUUCCCCACUGUCUCCAAUACAGACUCAGCGAAAUUGAAUUCCCCGUGAAGAUGCGGGGUACCCGCGGUCAGACGGAAAGACCCCGUGCACCUUUACUAUAGCUUCACAUUGGCAUUAGAUUAGUCAUGUGCAGGAUAGGUGGUAGGCUUUGAAGCAGGAACGCUAGUUUUUGUGGAGCCACCCUUGAGAUACCACUCUUGUCUGAUUUGAUGUCUAACCGCGAUCCGUUAUCCGGAUCCGGGACCGUGUGUGGUGGGUAGUUUGACUGGGGCGGUCGCCUCCUAAAGAGUAACGGAGGCGCGCAAUGGUGGGCUCAGGUUGGUCGGAAAUCAACCGUAGAGUGCAAUGGCAGAAGCCCGCUUGACUGCGAGACUGACAAGUCGAGCAGAGACGAAAGUCGGCCAUAGUGAUCCGGUGGUCCCGCGUGGAAGGGCCAUCGCUCAACGGAUAAAAGGUACGCCGGGGAUAACAGGCUGAUA
RNAcentral lists this ribosomal RNA (2243 nucleotides) under marine metagenome. Its description in RNAcentral is "bacterial LSU rRNA". It matches the Rfam family "Bacterial large subunit ribosomal RNA", at positions 123 to 2487 of the family's 2925-position model. The record is from RNAcentral.